GCCUUCGUGGUGUAGUGGUCAGCACGCUCGACGCGAAACCGAGAGGUCCGUGGUUCGAUUCCCGGCGAAGGCG
RNAcentral lists this transfer RNA (73 nucleotides) under Stegodyphus mimosarum. RNAcentral's name for it is "tRNA-Ser for anticodon CGA". It matches the Rfam family "tRNA". From Rfam's summary of the family: Transfer RNA (tRNA) molecules are approximately 80 nucleotides in length. The record is from Rfam by way of RNAcentral. Lineage: Eukaryota; Metazoa; Arthropoda; Arachnida; Araneae; Eresidae.